This 172-nucleotide non-coding RNA is filed under the name Streptococcus lutetiensis. The record is from RNAcentral. Lineage: Bacteria; Bacillati; Bacillota; Bacilli; Lactobacillales; Streptococcaceae.
UGCUUUUUUUAACAAUCUCUACGCCAUAUCGUUCCAUAAGCUUAACCAUGUAACGUAGAUUUCUAGGAUUAACAUCAUAGGUUUGACCCAGCUGAGGCCAAGACACACCUUGUUUUCUGAGUUUAUAGAUUCCUAGUUUAUCUUCAUAAGUUAAUUUCAUACAAAAAGCACC